CUAUUUCAAUUCAAAAAACCCUAAAUGUAAAGCAAUCAUCUACAUCGAGAAAGUAACUCACCGAAUUUCUCAUGGCCGAUCUAGGGUUUAAUUCACCGAUUUUCUCUCUCCCGAGCGUAUUCUGAUAAGUGUGAUGGUAGGGUUUCGGCUUGAUGUUGAACGCGGGUGAUAACUCCACCAGAGAAGAUGCUGACUUAAUCUGGUCAUUGAAUCCGAGAUCGAUGAACCUUGGACUUCUACCACUAUUUAAAGGUAAUAUCUUACUUUUUUAUAGCUUGCCUUGGCUUGGACUCGACUUGGCUUAUUUACAAACCAAGCCGGCUCGGUCCAGCUCAUUUACAAGUGAUCCGACUAAAGACAAAACCGUACUGUAAGUUCUUCGUGUUUGACAUUUAGUAAUUGAAAAUCAGUGAUUCUUUUGAAAAAUAAUAGGUUUUAGGUUAAAUUUACAUGUAAUAUAUUUUAGUCUGUUAUACAUGAGGUUUUGCUUUGUGUGUGAAAGGCACAAAGCCAUUGCCAUGGUUGUGGCCUAUGUCAUUAAAGCGGUUUAUGAGGAUCAAAUCUUUUUAGUAGAAUAUGAAUCAUCAUAUUAUGGUGGGUUAAUGUUUAAAUGAUCUUAAGCUGCUAUUGAUAUUAGCUUAUUGAGUCAAAUUUUUUAGUAUGAAUUUGUACUUUUCUUCUAGCACAUUGUAGCUUGCACUUGGCCUCAUCAUUAACUCACACACUGUUGUGUUGAACCCAUUAGUACAUUUAUCAGAUUGGAUCUUGCUUCAGCAAACACGUUUUUGAUCCCCAAGGUUAUGACAUGGGCACAUGGCUGACUAUUAUGAUGAUACAAGUAACGCACUGUAAAUGUUGUUGACCCCACCCCUACCUAUGUGUUCUACGCAUCAUUGUUUAUUUAUUUUUAAUAGAGGCUGAUCUCAAGAGGGAGUCAGAGAGAAAGCUUGGACCAAUUGAAAGCUAUUAGCGACCCUAUUUUCUUCAGAGCUCACAGCAAGGCCAUAAGCAUCACAAACUGCUAAACAGUAUUUUCGGUGAGCUGCAAGAGUGGGUGGGAAUCGAAAAAACCAUGGAUUUCAAAAGAGAAAAUUGAUCAGGUAUUACGUGAGGCAGAUGAUCUCAAAAGGUGGUUAGAUGACAAGGAGGCUGAGCAACAAAAGUUAUCUGCAUCCAGCACCUCGGCUUAUACUUCUCAAAAGGUUAUCGACAAGCUGCUAGAUCUUAAAGACAAGUGGUACGCGUAAAAGGAAUAAUCGGUGAAAAGUUGCCGGAGUGUAUUUUCAAUGCGAAACCUCAUAAAUUAUUGAUAGAGAAACAUGCAAUAAUCUUGGAGUCCGAGACAAGACAACCUUAAUAAAGCCGUAGAGUCUUAUCAGUGGUCUUUGUCAACUAAACCCAAUUUCUCUCAAUCGUUAAACAACUUUGGAGUAGUCUACAUAGUGCAGGUUGAGCACUUGGUGUUGGUCGGGGCCAUGCUAUUGAUAUGCGAGCUCGGCUAUUGGUGCUCCUCUGCCUCCUGUAGCUACUUUUUUAUAUUUGGUUGGUUUUACAGCUAGCUACUGUUGUUCCUCUGCCUUCUGCAAGUAAACUUUUACUCAAAACAGGUAUAUCAUAAGAAUCUUUUGUAGAAUGGGUGCAUCGUGAAUAUUGAUUGCAAGUUUAUGCUUUUGAAUAUUAAUUCAAGUUUAAUCCCUAAAUUUCAGUUA
Molecule: RNA transcript, 1709 nt
Organism: Helianthus annuus (common sunflower)
Lineage: Eukaryota; Viridiplantae; Streptophyta; Magnoliopsida; Asterales; Asteraceae
Gene name: heat shock 70 kDa protein 17-like
Exons: 13
Source: RefSeq, a predicted model, not a curated record